AUUGAACGCUGGCGGCAUGCCUUACACAUGCAAGUCGAACGGUAACAGGUCUUCGGACGCUGACGAGUGGCGAACGGGUGAGUAAUACAUCGGAACGUGCCCAGUCGUGGGGGAUAACUACUCGAAAGAGUAGCUAAUACCGCAUACGUCCUACGGGAGAAAGCAGGGGACCUUCGGGCCUUGCGCUAUCAGAUGAGCCUAGGUCGGAUUAGCUAGUUGGUGAGGUAAUGGCUCACCAAGGCGACGAUCCGUAACUGGUCUGAGAGGAUGAUCAGUCACACUGGAACUGAGACACGGUCCAGACUCCUACGGGAGGCAGCAGUGGGGAAUAUUGGACAAUGGGCGAAAGCCUGAUCCAGCCAUGCCGCGUGUGUGAAGAAGGUCUUCGGAUUGUAAAGCACUUUAAGUUGGGAGGAAGGGCAUUAACCUAAUACGUUAGUGUUUUGACGUUACCGACAGAAUAAGCACCGGCUAACUCUGUGC
This 483-nucleotide ribosomal RNA is filed under the name uncultured bacterium. RNAcentral's name for it is "bacterial SSU rRNA". It matches the Rfam family "Bacterial small subunit ribosomal RNA", at positions 30 to 508 of the family's 1533-position model. The record is from RNAcentral.